Molecule: long non-coding RNA, 1042 nt
Organism: Alosa alosa (allis shad)
Lineage: Eukaryota; Metazoa; Chordata; Actinopteri; Clupeiformes; Clupeidae
Exons: 2
Source: RefSeq, a predicted model, not a curated record
GGAAGAUAGCAGCAUGGCCGCUUUUCCCCACAGGAGCAAGAGACUGGGCCUUGUAUCCACUCUUAAAUGGAGUAUAACAAUGGUCCAGUGUUCUUGACCCUCUCGUUGCACAGUCAAUGUGUUGAUAAAGGUUUGGCAUCACUUUCUUCAGGUUCGCCUUGUUGAAAUCGCCAGCAACCACUAACGCGGCUUGGGUGUUGCUAGCCUGGUAGCUGUUCAGUGCAUCGUGGAGCACUGUGAGAGCUGUUUUUGUACAUGCCUGGGGUGUAAUGUACACUGCCACGAUUACCACAGAUGUAAAUUCACGUGGAAGAUAGUGAGGCCGGCAUUUUAUUGCCAGGAAUUCCAUCAGGGGAGCAGAAGCGCCGCAGCACGUUGAUGUUCCCACUUUGACACCAGCCCUCAUUCACCAUGACGCCAACGCCACCUCCGAUCUCCUUCCUGGAUUCCUCGAAAGAUCUGUCAGACCGGUAAACAGAGAGAUUCUCCAUCAGUUUUAUGGAAUGGUCAUCUUUGGACGGAUUCAGCCAGGUUUCAGUGAACAGGAGGAUGUUACAGUUUCUUAUGUCUCGUUCACAUGCGCAACGCAAACGGAGAUCAUCCACUUUCUCAUCGUUCAAGGACUGGACAUUAGCAACCAGGAUACUUGGCAAGGAGGCUUGUGUACGCGGGCCCUCAGGGCAUGCUUUACCCCUCCGCGUUUACCUCUGGAUCUUCUCCAGGUUUGUUGAGCUGCGCUCUUCAGGAUCUCAGCCGGGAGCAAGCGAACCCAAACAUCGGAUGGACUUUGCAUGAGGCAGCCGCUGCCGUCCAGGGUGAGAGACUGGAUUACAACCUGGCCUGCUCCGACCAUUUGCGGCCACUGGGGUGGAAAGCCGGCGACACAACGACCAGAGUGGGUGCGGUAGCCUACACCACAUCAUACACACAAUUCCGGACCCGCGACUGACGGACUGGAGAGGGGGCGACUGGCGGCGAUGGGGACGAUCCUUCAGGAAUAACCUCUUUUAAUGACUAUUUAAAUAAAACAUUUCUUAAUUUA